AACCUCACCAUUGUUUCUUCUCCUUUACAGCAGGUUCAGGAUGUCAUAUGAAGUCAGCCUCUUCUUUUGCCCCAUCCUGCUCCCAACAUUACAGCUGGAGGUGCAGCUCAGCUUCAUGCUGGGUAGGGUGGCAGGAUCUCAGCUGGCUGUGAAAUGGACACAAGAAUGUACAAUCUAAGAAGAUAAUUUGUGCCUGGAGAAAAUAGCCCCAGAGAUAGUGUUAAGUGGGUGGAUUCUUUACUGCUGAGCCAUUGGGGAAGCACUUACUUCGGGUCAGCACUAUCGAAGCACCAUUUUUCUUUUGGGAACUCAGGUGGGUACUAUUCAGGAUUUGCUAAGCUAAUAAGCAUGAGACCAAGGGCUCAAGCAGAAUUCUU
Long non-coding RNA from Bos indicus x Bos taurus (hybrid cattle), 377 nucleotides. The record is from Ensembl. NCBI's taxonomy places the organism in Eukaryota, Metazoa, Chordata, Mammalia, Artiodactyla, Bovidae.